This 1338-nucleotide long non-coding RNA is filed under the name Homo sapiens (human). Its description in RNAcentral is "small nucleolar RNA host gene 29 (SNHG29)". The record is from RNAcentral. Lineage: Eukaryota; Metazoa; Chordata; Mammalia; Primates; Hominidae.
GGAUUGGGAUAUUCCGACUCCUUAAGGGCCUGGCGCACAUAAGGUGUGACCUUUUCAUUCCCGUUGUUAUGGAGGUAGGCUCUCUAGGAAUCUGGGAGUAGUAGCUGGGGGGCAAGAGCAAAUAAAGAGCUCGAGCUUCUGUGGUCUCUGGGGAGAUGUUCCCGGGAAGCCUGUCUAGAGGGCGGAGGGCAGCUGUUGAGAUGGCGUGGCUCCCCGGCUCCUGCGCCCGCGUGGCUUUCGCGGCGGGCGCUGCGGCCCGGUAUUGGACAGCCUGGCAGGGCAGCGCGGGGCCGAAUCCGGCUGCCGUGGCUGAGGCUCAUGGAUCACUCUUUUGUGGUAGGGCCACAUCUGCCAGAGCCUGGAGUCUGCGAAGGCCGGGACCCGGUUCCCCGGCCCACAGUGGGGGUGUGCAAACCCGAGAGAACUGGUCGCUGAAACCUCUACAACUUAGUUGACCGUAACUGCCAGAGCCCUGCCCUGAAUUCCUGUCCUUACUCCCUCUUUAAGAUUGCGUACCCACUGCAGAGUGCUGAAGACGGGGUAGCCACGAGGUUGCAAAUUCGUGAAGAAUCAGCAUCAUGUUUGGCAGCUGAGUAUUGGAGCCAGGAGCCUGCCAUGAGGUUUUGAGAACAGAGUGCUGUUUUAGAGCUGGCAGCAGCAUCUCAGCCCAAGAGAAGGUUAUAUUCCCAGAGGAUGUCAGUCCCAAGGACCAGUAGCUGCCAUCAGUUUGGAUUCUGAAAACUAACUGGCAUCAACACUGGGUGUAGAAACAUGCUUGCCUUAUGUAUCAGAGGACAUGCUCAGCAGAUCCAAGAGAUAUAUUUGGCAACUUUUUCUAGAAAAGGCACAUUGGGUAUCAUUCAUUACAUUCUUGAGUUUUUUUGGGUUUUUUUUUUUUUUUUUGAGACAGUCUUGCUGUAUUGCCCAGGCUGGAGUGUGGUGGCACAAUCACAGCUCAUUGCAUCCUCAAUCACCCAGGCCUAAGCAAUCCUCCCACCUUGUAGCUGGGACUACAGCUCACAGCACACCUGGCUAAAAUUUUUUUUUUGUUGAGACGGAUUCUCUAUGUUGCCCAGGCUGGUCUCAGGCUCCUGGGCUCAGAUGGUCCUCCUGCCUCAGCUUCCAAAGGCACAGGCCAAGUUGUAGCUUUGUCCCUUGCCAUCAUGCCCAACAAGAGGUUCUAUACCUUUUAAUGAAUUGACUUUCAUAAAUUGGUUAUGUUGGUGGGCAAAGUUCUUUAAGCUGGAAAUUGUAAAUUCCUCCUGAAAUGUUUUUUCAUGCAGUUACCAUGAACUAAUACUACAAUAAAGGAUGGUCUUGGGUGUCAAUUCUUGAAAA